This 88-nucleotide transfer RNA is filed under the name Diselma archeri. RNAcentral describes it as "tRNA-Ser". It matches the Rfam family "tRNA". From Rfam's summary of the family: Transfer RNA (tRNA) molecules are approximately 80 nucleotides in length. The record is from RNAcentral. Lineage: Eukaryota; Viridiplantae; Streptophyta; Pinopsida; Cupressales; Cupressaceae.
GGAGAGAUGGCCGAGUGGUUGAUGGCUCUGGUCUUGAAAACCAGUAUAGUUCACAAAACUAUCGAGGGUUCGAAUCCCUCUCUCUCCU